This 3586-nucleotide long non-coding RNA is filed under the name Podarcis lilfordi (Lilford's wall lizard). The record is from RNAcentral. Lineage: Eukaryota; Metazoa; Chordata; Lepidosauria; Squamata; Lacertidae.
CAGCAACUGCUCACCAGGAGCAGAACUGAGCAGCUUCUGUGAGUGAAGUGAAGAGCUGUUUCUCAGAAGGGGAAACCCUGGGAGAGACUAGGGUUCAAAUACCUCUUUACUCAGCUAUGCAGCUCACUGGGUGACCUGGGGCCAGGUUGUGGGGAUUAAAUAAGAAGGUGAGAACUAUGUAUGUCAUUUUGAGCUCCUUGGAGUAAAUAAUGGGAUAUCAAUUCAGACGCCCUCAGAAGGUGGUGGACUCUCCUUCUUUGGAGGUUUUUUAUACACAGAGGUUGGGUGGCCAUUUGCAAGGAAUUCUUGAAUUGGAUUCCUGUUUUGCAGCCAAUUGGACUAGAUGCACCUUGGGGUUCUUUCCAAAUCUACAAUUUUGUUCUAUGAUUUUGUAUUGAUUAGAUAGGAAACCGCUUCGAGACUACUCUGAGAUGCCAGGUUGGAUAUAAGCGCCAUAAAUAAGAAAAGAGAGAGACACGUUGGCCUGUGAAUGACCCCAGGCAGCUGGUAGAAGGACUCUGACCUAGAGGCAGAGGGAACCUGGAAGCUUCAGGACGAAGUUGCUGUUAAGCACUGGACGCAUUGCCGACUGGAAAAGGUGAGUGGCCGUCUGCAAGAUCUUACAGAGCUCAUGAGAUCUGGUGAGAUUUCAGGAAGAUCUCACAAGAUCUUGCUAGCCUUGCUGGCAGGGUUGAGUAAGGUUGGCACAGUGCAAACACACCGGUGCAGCCAAACUUGUGCUUAUGCCAGUGUGUUCACACCACAUCAACCUCACCUCCAUCCUCCUCUUCCUUCUUGUAAGCCAUAGUGAUGUCAGCGUUGGGAGAUAUGCUAAGUGCCUCCCCCCACCAAAUGCUACUGGUUGUGGGUGGCCUAUGAUUUUAAAAGAUUCCACCUUCUGCCCAAGUAGUGUUUUCAAGUGGCCAUUGUAGCUGUAUACUGCCUAUAAUCCUGAUCUCAAAGGUUGUCCAGAACAGGUCAGGCAGUCUUGUUGACUCUUUCCAGACCAGCUGGCAGCAAGAUUCUGCUGCCAAAAUAGCUGCUCCUUCAUGGCCUGGGCAGGCCAUCGGCCUGUUAUAUACCUGUUGGGAUUGACAAGGCAUAUGACCCUCACCUGAAUCUCAUUUAACACAAUAAAACAUCAAACAUUUAAAACUUCCCUAAACAGGGCUGCCUUCAGAUGUCUUCUAAAAGUCAGGUAGUUGUUUAUUUCCUUGACAUCUGAUGGGAGGGCAUUCCACAGGGCGGGUGCCACUACCGUGAAGGCCCUCUGCCUGCUCCACUGUAACCUCACUUCUUGCAGUGAAGGAACCGCCAAAAGGCCCUUGGAGUUGGACCUCAGUGUCCAGGCUGAAUGAUGGGGCUGGAGACACUCCUUCAGGUAUACUGGGUCUAGGCCAGAACAGCAAGCAAUGAUAAUUAAAAGUGGGGUCCGCAACAAAUGUUAUGGUAUGAAGUACUCCUGUUCAGAUUCCAAAAUGCUAGCCCAAUCAUGUCCUUAUCCAGGAUGCUCCAUUCCAUUCCACCCCCUGUCCCAAACCAGUCAGCCAGUAUUCUGAGCAUGCUCAGUACUCAUUGGGUUGUUUUGGGGUUCCACCUCCCACUUGAUUUAUAUAAGCUUCCAUGAAUCUUGGUGUUCCCCCACUAAUCUGUCAGUAUCUGGUGUGAAAGGAGAGGACUAUGGAUGGUUACAAGCUUUGAUGGCUAUGCUCUGCCUCCACAGUCAGAGACCACAAUGUUUCUGAAUAUCAGUUGCUGGUUGCUCUUGUCCUUGUGUCCCGCUUGCUGGUUUCCCGUUGGGAAUCUGGUUGGCCACUGGGAGAACAGGAUGCUGGACUAGAUGGGGUAUUGGCCUGCUCCAAGAGAGGUCUUCUGAAAUUCUGAUAUGUGCUCACUCUGCUGGGCUUGGCUACAUAAAAAUACUGAGACUCGGGAAAUGUUUUUGCUGUUAGUGCAUAGGAUUCAAGCCCCCAGGUCCAGAGGGAGUGCUGCAGGGGAGGAAUGGGAGAUAAGGCCUGGCGGGGAGAGAGCAAAUGGGGGGGUGCAGCUCCUCUGAGUGAGGGGGGGGGAUUAGGCAGAGGUUGCACUUGCUCCAUCCCAUCUUUUGCAACCUCUGCUUGCUCUAGCUGGCUUAAUUCCCCCGCCGGUGUCCGAGUAGGCGUCAGAUUAGUUGCAAUGCAUAGCAGAAGCCUCAGUUCUCAACUGGCAAUCAACCCAGGCUCUGUCUCUUCUUUUCCUGGAGCAGAGGUCGCUCAAGGGUGCCUGCCAUGACCCCAGAGCCCAGCAGCAAUCAAGACUCAAGAGCCGGCGGCUGCAGACUUUCCAGCUGGAUGCAGGGUUCUGCCAGCCAUGAAGCAACCCAACCUGUGGCUGAGGAAUAUGAACCUCACAGGAAAACUUCCUGAAUCUCUAGGGCAGGAGCCUGGAUGCACAAGAGCAGGAGCCUCAAAAGGUUCAGUCAGGGAGUGGAUCACCUGGAGCUGUCAGUGGUCCUGAAACUCAGAACACAACAUCACCACCAGCAUUCAGUGUAGCUUAGCUCAUCUCUAUGAGCUGCCUGCCCAGUUCCUUGCAACAGUCUUGUCUUGGAGCUCCAUUUAAUCCUCUUGCGCUGUCUGCUCAGUCUUGAUUGGCAGAAGUUCUUGGGGUGGUGGUGCUCAGGCAGAGAGAGGGGUCUUCUUCUCUUCCUGAUAUCCUUUCAACUGGAUGCACUAACCACUGAGCUACGGCCCUCCUCUAAACAAUCUCAUGGUGACAUGCAGCAAGACUGAGAGUUGUGCAGCUCUUCUGAUGUUUGUGGAUUCCCAUCACACCAGCCAGCAUGGCCAAUGCUUGGACAAAUGAGUGAGCUAAUCAUGCUGUAGAGAGAGGGCAGAAUUAUGUAUCCUCGCCCAAGAGAGGAUGGUUGAGGAAAUGAGGAUGAUGCCUCAUACCAAGUCAGACCAUUGGGUCCAUCUAACUCAGCAUUGUCUAUCCUAGCUGUAAUUGUCCACACAGGACAUUCCCAGUCCCAGUGCUUUUUUCUGGGGGGACGCAUACCCCUAAACAUUUUGUGAAUCUAAGUUUGGCCUCAUUGAGGGGCAGUAUUUCAAUAUGAGUAGGAAAAUGAGAUUACCCCUAAACAUUUUUUUUAGAAAAAAGGCACUGCCCAGUCCUACCCAGAGAUGCCAUUGAUGAUUGAACCUGGGACCUUUUGCAUGGAAAGCUGGUGCUCUGUGACUUAGCUAUGGCCCCUUUGCAUGUUGAGCUGAGACAAAGACAGCAGCCUCCACCCUGGAAAUGAACAGACAGUGUUGGGAAAGGGAGGGUCCCUUUAGCUUUAAUACGACCAAAUUGGCAAUCUCUUUCCUCUGUGCUAUUUCGAGAGAGAGCUGAUCCAUUGGGAAGGAGGGAACAGCGUCCCCAACUGUAUAAGAAAGCCUUCCAUCAGCUUGUAGCACUCACUCGAUGAGAGCCGGCCUUACCCAUAAUGCGUUGCUUGUGUUCCAAUUUCAGUGUGUGAGACAGAGCUACAGAUGCAUCUUGAGAUAAGAUGGGUAUGGUUUCCUUUGUUUUUUAAUCAAUGCCCAUUUCAUUUUCUCCCAUU